RNAcentral lists this ribosomal RNA (335 nucleotides) under Pseudomonadota bacterium. Its description in RNAcentral is "bacterial SSU rRNA". It matches the Rfam family "Bacterial small subunit ribosomal RNA", at positions 1 to 360 of the family's 1533-position model. Lineage: Bacteria; Pseudomonadati; Pseudomonadota. The record is from RNAcentral.
UCCAACUUGAGAGUUUGAUCCUGGCUCAGAGCGAACGCUGGCGGCAGGCUUAACACAUGCAAGUCGAACGGGCGUAGCAAUACGUCAGUGGCAGACGGGUGAGUAACGCGUGGGAACGUGCCUUUCGGUUCGGAACAACCCAGGGAAACUUGGGCUAAUACCGGAUACGCCCUUACGGGGAAAGAUUUAUCGCCGAAAGAUCGGCCCGCGUCUGAUUAGCUUGUUGGUGAGGUAACGGCUCACCAAGGCGACGAUCAGUAGCUGGUCUGAGAGGAUGAUCAGCCACACUGGGACUGAGACACGGCCCAGACUCCUACGGGAGGCAGCAGUGGGGA